Molecule: long non-coding RNA, 973 nt
Organism: Xiphias gladius (swordfish)
Lineage: Eukaryota; Metazoa; Chordata; Actinopteri; Istiophoriformes; Xiphiidae
Exons: 2
Source: RefSeq, a predicted model, not a curated record
UGCUCUUCUAUCAGUCCGAUAAAUUUUCAGUCAUAUCCUGCAAGGAACUCUGUGAAGUUACUACAGAACUCCGACGGGGUUAGCGUUCUGGUAGUCCUCUCUAAAAAUUGAGAUUUUUUUUCCCGAAGUCAUUUUUCAUCACUGAUUUGUGAAACUUAGCUGCUGACAUCGGAUAACCUCCUGGGAAAUACGCUACGAUGUCCAAAGUACUCUUUUAUGUCUGUUAGCCGGUUUGCUAGCUUGUUAGGACAGGAUCGUGGUUAUCAGUGUGCAAUUUUCUACAUAUUGAUGGCUUAGAGUUGGAUGACGAAGCAGAAGGACCGCUGCCGCUGCAGGAUCCUCUGCAGGCGCCGUAAGGCUUGAUGUGAUGACACGAUCUUCCUCCUAGUUACCAAGGUCCGAGUAAAGAGAAACAAGUCAGUCCAUUGAGGCCUGCUUGGUUUAAAAAAAAAAAAAAAAAAAAAAAAACUACAGUAAAUGCAGUACUACAAAUGUACAGAAACCGUAGCAGUUCUGUGGUCUUUGAAAACGUACUUGGCAGCUCGGCAGUAAAAGAAGUCUACUCUCUCACAUCAAGUUCACCUCGAGGAAAAAAAAAAAAAAAAUCAACUGACCAUCCCAAACGAGGCUUUGUCACGUCACACUUGUGCCAGAGAUGUGCUUUGGAUAGAGGAUGUUCUUGUCAAUCUGCCUCAGUACACUGACGGUAAACUACACUUUCAAGUUGACCGGUCUCCGUCAGCGCCGGGAUGUUCCGGUGGGUUUUCCCUCGGUACAGAACACCUGCGGACCUCUAAAUUGACUGUCGACUACUUCGAGUUCUCCAGUAUUUGGUGCUGUGCGUCUUUCGGGCCACAACAGUGCAGGACACAUGAACAUGAUAUGUCGGUAUCGAGUGGAAAUAAACAAUAUGCUUCAUUAUUCUCCUAAAAUAUUAAACUGAAGGCUACACAAAGCUGAUAUAUUAUGAAAA